AUUUUCAAAGUGAACGAAUCCAGAUCGGGAAAUUCUUCUUCUUUUUUAUGUGUUUCUGUACUUGUUGGUAUUUGAUUCGAAACUGUUGUGGUAUACGAAAAUGUCUUUGUUAACCAAGAAAAGAACCGAUCUGGAUUUCUUUUGUACUUUUUAUGUGGUGCUGUACUGAUUAGUAGUUUAUUUGAAAAUGUUGUGUGUCUUAUUAGGCAUUAAUCUCUUGUGAAUUAUUAGGCAUUUUUUUCAUAAUAGUUUCCAGUUACUCGAUGAAUAAUUAUUGUUUUUUGAGUUUUUUUUGGUUCUGUUGUUCGAAAAUUUAUCAAGCAAGGGGUGUUGCUUACAAGAUGACGAUAGACAAAGGGAAGAAGAAAUGUUUACCAGUAUCGAUUUAACGUUUAUACACUGCAUUAUUAUAAUUAGCUUGAAAAAUUCACAUAAUGUGAAGGCUUUUUUUUUGUUCAGUGCGUACACCUACUCGAAAGAAAUUAAGGGGGAAAUGGAGAACCAAAAAAAAAUGCAAAUACUGAUGACGGUAAAAAGAUAAUUUGUUCAUUUAUUUGGUGAAAGGUGUUCUUAAUUAUUACAAGCUUAUUCGUUUUAUAACCUCUCUUGAAUUAUCUGAUUUUCUCCAAUUUUCCAGUAAAUUGAAUUUGUAUUCUAAAUUUAAUUAUGGUUAUUCGUUAAUUUGAGUUUAGCUAUUCUUUAUUAUAUUUAUAACCUCAUGAUCUUGCAUAACUAUGGGAAAAAGAAUUUGUAAUAACUAUGAAGAUAUUCAUUAAUAAAUGAAUGUUAUUCGCUAAGUUAGUGUAUUUUAAUUGUCAAGUAUGUCAACUGUUAGAUAAACAUAUGUGAAUGAAUAUUUGAUGAAAAAACUCUAUUAAUGAAUGGUUUCUGUUAAUUCUAGUAUGUUAUUUAUACUUAGUUGUUAUUGUUAAUGAUUUGAAAAACAUAUUGAGGAUGAUGACUAAUUUUGCAUGUUUAUUUGACAGAUUUUGUCGAGGAACUAAAUACCCAAAGCUCAAAACCCGAAGCACACAUGCUGCAUUUUACAAGAAGUUGCGAGAUCUGAACGAGGCACAACGUGAAGCUGUUCGUUCCAUUGGAUUUGGGAGGAUCCUGGAUUUUACAAUCAAAGAUAUGCCUUAAAAGCUAGCUUACUAGAUUAUAGACAAAUAAAACUCUCAGAGUAUUCGUUUUUUUCUAAGAUCAAGUAUUCAUUUUUUUAAAAAGCACAUUCAUCUUUCUUUACUAAACACAUAUUUCAUAAAUAUGUGUGUGACGAAUAUUGUUGGGACGUAUGGGGCAACACAAAUCAUACGAAUCAUCAAUAUAACCGGUUAUAGAAAUUUC
Molecule: long non-coding RNA, 1347 nt
Filed under: Salvia miltiorrhiza (redroot sage)
Lineage: Eukaryota; Viridiplantae; Streptophyta; Magnoliopsida; Lamiales; Lamiaceae
Description: long non-coding RNA (SMIL_LNC007682)
Source: RNAcentral